Molecule: long non-coding RNA, 485 nt
Filed under: Medicago truncatula (barrel medic)
Lineage: Eukaryota; Viridiplantae; Streptophyta; Magnoliopsida; Fabales; Fabaceae
Description: long non-coding RNA (MTRU_LNC001691)
Source: RNAcentral
AACAAUUAUCGCUGCACUGGAAAUGUAUCCUCACUACAGGUACUAUCCUUAUCAAAUAAUUAAAAAAAAUUAAAGGGGCUAAACCGGAAUUCAAAGAAGAAAAUUAAUGAAUUAAUAUCAAGAAUUCAAAACGCCUUGUUCUUGAUUUAAAACCAAGAUAUUUAUGAGUUGGCAUGUUAGAGAAACAUUUUUCUUCUUUUCCUAGAAAAUCCUUAUAAUUUCAUCCUAGUGAAUAUCCAGAAUCUUCAACUUGUUACUAAUUUGUAUUAUUUUAUGGAAUAUUAAUUUGUUUACAGAUACCAUGAUAAAGAGUUCAGAAGACGUGUUAACUUCUAGAGAAUUGUUGUUCAAAAAGAAAAACUUAAAAGAGAAUUUGGCUACAGAAAAUGGGAUUUCAGAGUUGGGAUAACAUCAAUUAGAAGUUAAAGAAGAAAAGUUGGCCUACCUUAGUUUUGGCUUCUUCUCUCCUUAUAAGAAGCAGGGCC